AUCAUAAUAGUAUAUUAUACAAUUAGCUUCCAACUAAAAAAUAAAUUUUCAUA
RNAcentral lists this transfer RNA (53 nucleotides) under Scolopendra dehaani. RNAcentral describes it as "tRNA-Gly". Lineage: Eukaryota; Metazoa; Arthropoda; Chilopoda; Scolopendromorpha; Scolopendridae. The record is from RNAcentral.